Polyodon spathula (Mississippi paddlefish) is the source of this 3608-nucleotide RNA transcript. It is a transcript of the gene named segment polarity protein dishevelled homolog DVL-3-like, with no coding region annotated. The transcript is spliced from 17 exons. Lineage: Eukaryota; Metazoa; Chordata; Actinopteri; Acipenseriformes; Polyodontidae. The record is from RefSeq and is a predicted model, not a curated record.
CUCUCCCUCCGUCCCUCCCUCACACACACACGCAGAGAGACAGACAGCUGCUUCUGACUGGAGAAAAAAAUAAAUAAAAAGAAAGAUAGCUGGGGGAGAUCCUGGAAACACAGAUCGUAUGAAAGGGAAACUUUAAUUUUUUUAGGUGAAAAUAAAAGUCAGACAUACUUCGGACGGGAGGUGAACGAAGGGGCCGAGCCGCGUCUGGCGCGCCGAGGGGAGUACAUGCACACACCGUUUGUUUUCCUUGAAGAAUACCCAUUCCAAGCAGAGCCCUGGCCACAUAAACGGAACUUACAAGGGGAGCCGGGGCUUGCACAUCGCUGUCUCCUGCUAGGCUUGGUAUUGGUCCGCCGCUGACCAUGGGGGAAACUAAGAUAAUAUAUCACAUUGAUGACCAAGAAACGCCGUAUCUGGUCAAACUGCCCAUCCCGGCGGACCGGGUCACUUUGGCAGACUUUAAAAAUGUCCUGAAUAAACCGAACUACAAGUUUUUCUUCAAAUCUAUGGACGAUGACUUUGGAGUGGUGAAGGAAGAGAUCUCGGAGGACAAUGCCAAACUCCCCUGUUUCAAUGGCAGAGUGGUGUCCUGGCUGGUCUCGGCGGAUGGCUCUCAUUCUGACGGAGGGUCGGUUUGUGCUGACAGCCAGUCGGAUCUCCCGCCCCCGAUCGAGCGCACCGGAGGGAUUGGAGACUCGCGCCCGCCAUCCUUCCAUGCGAACGCCGCUGGCAGUCAGGACAACCUGGACAACGAGACGGAGACGGAGUCGGUGGUGUCCUCACGGCGAGAACGGCCGCGCCGGAAAGACGCCCACGAGCACGUCUCGCGGGUGAACGGCCAUGCCAAGCUGGAGCGACGUCACGACGUGGGGGGCUACGAGAGCUCGUCCACGCUGAUGAGCAGCGAGCUGGAGUCCACCAGCUUCUUCGACUCGGAGGAGGAUGACUCCGCCAGCCGGUUCAGCAGUUCCACAGAGCAGAGCAGCUCCUCGCGGCUGAUGAGGCGACACAAGCGUCGGCGGAGGAAACCCAAGGCGCAGCGCAUGGAGCGGUCCUCGUCCUUCAGCAGUAUCACAGACUCCACCAUGUCUCUCAACAUCAUCACUGUGAUUUUAAACAUGGAGAAGUACAAUUUCCUGGGGAUCAGCAUCGUGGGACAGAGUAACGAGCGGGGCGACGGCGGGAUCUACAUCGGCUCCAUCAUGAAGGGGGGGGCCGUGGCCGCGGACGGGAGGAUUGAACCCGGGGACAUGCUGCUGCAGGUGAAUGACAUCAACUUUGAGAACAUGAGCAAUGACGACGCAGUGCGGGUGCUGAGGGAGAUCGUUCACAAACCCGGGCCCAUCACGCUCACGGUCGCUAAGUGCUGGGACCCCACCCCCAGGGGGUGCUUCACACUGCCCAGGAUUACAAACUGUGUAGCGUAUUGUCCUGCUUAUCCAGGCGAGCCGAUCCGGCCGAUCGACCCGGCUGCCUGGGUGUCCCACACGGCAGCGAUGACAGGGACGUACCCGGUGUACGGUAUGAGCCCUUCCAUGAGCACCAUCACUUCCACUAGCUCCUCCAUCACCAGCUCCAUCCCCGAGACUGAGCGAUUCGAUGAUUUCCACCUGUCCAUCCACAGCGACAUGGCCACCAUUGCUAAGGCCAUGGCAUCGCCCGAGUCCGGUCUGGAGGUGCGGGACAGGAUGUGGCUGAAGAUCACCAUCCCCAAUGCCUUCAUAGGUUCAGACGUGGUCGACUGGCUGUACCACCACGUGGAGGGUUUCACCGACCGGAGAGAGGCGCGCAAGUACGCCAGCAACCUGCUGAAGGCCGGCUUCAUCCGGCACACCGUCAAUAAGAUCACCUUCUCAGAGCAGUGUUACUACAUCUUCGGAGACCUGUGUGGCAACAUGGCUAAUCUCAGCCUGAACGACCACGAUGGCUCGAGCGGGGCGUCCGACCAGGACACGCUGGCCCCCCUCCCUCACCCCGGCGCGGCCCCCUGGCCCCUCGCCUUCCCCUACCAGUACCCCGCGCCACACCCCUACAAUCCCCCUGUCGGCUUCCAUGACCCGGGAUACAGUCACGGAGCAGGGGGGGGCAGCGCCGGGAGCCAGCACAGUGAAGGCAGUCGUAGCAGCGGCUCUAACCGCAGUGGCAGUGAGCAGAGGCGCAAGGAGGAGGCGGCGGCGAAGGCGAGCGCAGGAGGAGGAGACUCCAAAUCGGGGGGCAGCGGCAGCGAGUCGGACCACACCACACGGAACAGCAGCAGCAUGAGGAGGGAGCGGACACCCAGCGAGCGCUCUGCAGCGCCCCCUAGCGAGCACAGCCUCCGCAGCCACCACUCCGCCGCGCACAGUCUCCGUAGCAGCCACAGCCACGCCUACGGCCCCCCCGGCGUCCCGCCCCUCGUCAUGAUGGGCCCCCCUGGAGCCCCACCCAGCCGAGACCUGGCUUCGGUGCCGCCCGAGCUGACCGCCAGCAGACAGUCCUUCCGCAUGGCCAUGGGCAACCCCAGUGAGUUCUUUGUGGAUGUCAUGUGAUCCCUACUGCUGCCUUUCCUUUCCUCCUGUUUUUUUUUUAUUUGUAGAAGAACGACAGCAGCAGCAGAAAAAACCAACAGAACUGUUUCUCUUCGUCUUUCUCUUCUUACUUUAACAUACUGAAAAAAGAGAAUGUGUGCUUUUAAAAAAAACUAAAAAAAGAUCUACAAAUCUAAUACAUGGAUAAAUAAAUCAAUGAAUAGAUGACUGUAGUCCCGGCAGGGAGUGGAGAUCGAAGGCGUUGCAAAUCUGAGACAGAGAGAGAGAGAGAGAGAGUUGAUGUUCUAAAUGGAGAUCCUGCUUCCUCCCUCCUGUGACUGGACUGUAGGUGUGAGGAGGGAGGGAAGGGGGCGUGCGAAAGAAAGAGAACCAAACCCAAGUGCUUUUGACCAGGAAACCAGACCUGUUGAAAUGGACACGUAGACCACCCGUCCAGCGCGGUUUACCGACUCGGCGCGCAGGAAUCUUCCACAACACUUUCAUCCUUUCUCUUUCUGAGAUCCCAGUGUGCUCUGGGGCAGCCCUGUUGUCCGCCAUAUUGGCAUAUUGUUAACGAGCUGGCUGACCCCGGAGAGAGGGGAGGUGAAAGGUGAAAGGUGAAAGGCUGACAGGGGACUGGUAGAAUACCAGUGUUCCGAGCGAUUUAUCUUGGUCUGUCCAUUUGUCUCUGGGGGCUGGCAAGCAAUAACCAAAAUAAAAUCUGCUGACAAACUGUGAAUAGAAAACCGCAACCUGUUCCACCCAAGCUCUCCUCGUGCCUCUGUCCCAUCCCGAACCCAGACUCUCGCAUGGUGGGAGACACCUGGUUUAGGUCAUCCCUGCGGGCUAUUGCUUCUGUAGAAUCAGUCCUGGUUGUUAAUAAGAUACAGUAGCAUUGUGUACAAGUGUGCGUUAGAUUUUUUUAAUUCUGUAAGAAAAGCCUGGGGGGGGAAUUUUUUUUUUUAAAUGGUACUGAAUCAAAUAUAUGUGGCAGAGUACAAAAGGGUGCUCAAUUGGACAAUCCAAUACAUUGCAAUACACAUUGCAAAGAAUUGAACAGAACUGGACAAUCCAAUACAUUGUAAUACACAUUGAGGACUU